GGAUGAAAAUGUCUGAGGAAAUAUUGCACUCAGAAAAUAACAACACUUUCAUAGUGACCCAUGCCAGAGCAAACUGUGGUCCCGAACCAUUGCCUGGCCUCGAUCUGUGGGCACUGCAGGGGGUUGCACAGAG
This 133-nucleotide small nucleolar RNA is filed under the name Dipodomys ordii (Ord's kangaroo rat). Its description in RNAcentral is "Small nucleolar RNA SNORA42/SNORA80 family (ENSDORG00000020133.2)". Lineage: Eukaryota; Metazoa; Chordata; Mammalia; Rodentia; Heteromyidae. The record is from RNAcentral.